GAUGAACGCUGGCGGCGUGCCUAAUACAUGCAAGUCGAGCGAACGGACGAGAAGCUUGCUUCUCUGAUGUUAGCGGCGGACGGGUGAGUAACACGUGGAUAACCUACCUAUAAGACUGGGAUAACUUCGGGAAACCGUAGCUAAUACCGGAUAAUAUUUUGAACGGCAUGGUUCAAAAGUGAAAGACGGUCUUGCUGUCACUUAUAGAUGGAUCCGCGCUGCAUUAGCUAGUUGGUAAGGUAACGGCUUACCAAGGCAACGAUGCAUAGCCGACCUGAGAGGGUGAUCCGCCACACUGGAACUGAGACACGGUCCAGACUCCUACGGGAGGCAGCAGUAGGGACUCUUCCGCAAUGGGCGAAAGCCUGACGGAGCAACGCCGCGUGAGUGAUGAAGGUCUUCGGAUCGUAAAACUCUGUUAUUAGGGAAGAACAUAUGUGUAAGUAACUGUGCACAUCUUGACGGUACCUAAUCAGAAAGCAACGGCUAACUACGUG
RNAcentral lists this ribosomal RNA (497 nucleotides) under uncultured bacterium. Its description in RNAcentral is "partial 16S ribosomal RNA". It matches the Rfam family "Bacterial small subunit ribosomal RNA", at positions 28 to 507 of the family's 1533-position model. The record is from RNAcentral.